Molecule: transfer RNA, 77 nt
Filed under: Candidatus Krumholzibacteriia bacterium
Lineage: Bacteria; Candidatus Krumholzibacteriota; Candidatus Krumholzibacteriia
Description: tRNA-Arg
Rfam family: tRNA
About the family: Transfer RNA (tRNA) molecules are approximately 80 nucleotides in length. Their secondary structure includes four short double-helical elements and three loops (D, anti-codon, and T loops). Further hydrogen bonds mediate the characteristic L-shaped molecular structure. tRNAs have two regions of fundamental functional importance: the anti-codon, which is responsible for specific mRNA codon recognition, and the 3' end, to which the tRNAs corresponding amino acid is attached (by aminoacyl-tRNA synthetases). tRNAs cope with the degeneracy of the genetic code in two manners: having more than one tRNA (with a specific anti-codon) for a particular amino acid; and 'wobble' base-pairing, i.e. permitting non-standard base-pairing at the 3rd anti-codon position.
Source: RNAcentral
GCCCCCGUAGCUCAGUUGGAUAGAGCACCGGUUUCCUAAACCGGGUGUCGUGCGUUCGAAUCGCGCCGGGGGCACCA